GGAGGGGCCCUGAUCCUUGCGGGUGCGAUCAUACCAGAUCCCAUCAGAACUCCGCAGUUAAGCGCGGUCGGGCUAGAGUAGUACUGGGAUGGGUUACCUUCUGGGAAGUCCUAGUGUUGCACUCU
This is a non-coding RNA of Picea glauca (white spruce), 125 nucleotides long. NCBI's taxonomy places the organism in Eukaryota, Viridiplantae, Streptophyta, Pinopsida, Pinales, Pinaceae. The record is from Rfam.